CUUCUGGUAGCAGAAAGCACAAAUAACACAGUACCCAUUAUGACAUUUUAUAUAUAAAUAAUUGCUGAGUUAAUUUUUAUGAGGAAUAAUCCUUGUUCAAAAUCAAACUCCACUUAUAUUGACUCCUGAUGCAUCAUUUUAACAUGUCUUCAAAUAUUUUCUGCUUUGUCAAAAAUCAUUUUCUAACUUGAGGGACUUGCAUUACUGGAACGACUGUAGGUGAUAUCAUGAGCAAUAUGACUUGAAUGAAACAUGAAAAAGUAACCAAAAAGAAAUGCCAUAUUAUUAUAUGCAAAAAUAUGGAUCCAAAUACAAAUACAGUGAAAACAUUAUUGGACAAAAGUACCUACCAAAAUCGUAUUAUCCUUAUGUAAACAUUACACCUUAAUCUAACAAGCUUCUAUUAGCUUCAGACCCCCAUUUUCCCACUUGCGGGUCUUCUUGUGACAAGGGAGAUGAAAAUCAAGUCAAUGUUUCUUCUUGGUUAUCCAUUUUGGUUGUACCUCAUCUUCAAAUAUCUAAAAAACUUGUGCUUUAAUGAACACUAUUUUGAGUUGAGCCUUGGUAGAAAUCGUUGU
RNAcentral lists this long non-coding RNA (578 nucleotides) under Lathyrus oleraceus (garden pea). RNAcentral describes it as "Pisum sativum (pea) long non-coding RNA (PSAT_LNC029179)". Lineage: Eukaryota; Viridiplantae; Streptophyta; Magnoliopsida; Fabales; Fabaceae. The record is from RNAcentral.